ACUCGCGCGCCGGAGGAUUUUCGCGGGACGAACGUUUUCGGGCGACGUGGCGCGGACGCACGCACUACGUUAAAACUCGACGGUGAUACUCGAGCCGUUCUCGCCGUUGACGGCUCCUCGCUCCGCUCACACCACCCCGACUCACACCGCGAACUUCCUCGGCCACCCUCGGCAGGUUACGGCCCCCGUCGUCUUGCCUCGGUACGCGCAAAAUGACGUCACGCAGCGACAGAUGAAAACCCCGGCAGUCUGGGAUAUCGAUCGCUUGCGCUGGCGCAGCCGAGGCGUAUCGCGCAGCGACUCCGGACAAUCGGUGGCAGACGCGGGACACGUGGCUGAAAUUCCGAAAGAUAUGACAGUUCGGGGGCUCGCACAGAUGAAGAAACAGGAGCAGAGAAUUCGGAGCAAAACAAUCAUCCCCCGCUGUGAUGCGGCUUUGAUUUCGCAACCCUAUUGUUGCAACGUUGCGCAAACACCGACAUCUAUCGGAGGGGGAAGCAAUUGAAAUGGAAGAAGUAUUUGCGGCGAAAAUGAAAUAAGUACGGUAUUUUUCCGCGUAAACGCACCACCUUCGUUAUUCGACCUUUUUCUACCGCACGGUCUUACCGACUUUCAACAACGCCGACAUUCCGAGAAGGAACACCCCCUGGAGUUUCGAGUCACCACCUUCUGAUACGUACGUAUCAUCGAUGGUUUUCUUCUUGUUGUCUUGACGCUGUCCUGUGGAUUAGGUAAAAUCGUGAGAAAAGACGCUCUGCAAACAAAUUCCACAAAAGAAAAACGUUACACCAUUGGACAAUUUGCAAGAAUUUGCUUUCUCUUGAAGAAGGAGAUAUUACCGAUUUAUGUACAGGUAGGUAACCCUUAAUAGUUGAAAAGGAAACAAUGAAAAUAUUGGACUGUAUUCUUGUGUACAAAAAAAAUAGCAAA
Molecule: long non-coding RNA, 930 nt
Organism: Nylanderia fulva
Lineage: Eukaryota; Metazoa; Arthropoda; Insecta; Hymenoptera; Formicidae
Source: RefSeq, a predicted model, not a curated record